UGGGAUAUAGCCAAAUUGGUAAGGCACUGGACUCUGAAUCCAUAAUCUGAAGGUUCGAACCCUUCUAUCCCAA
RNAcentral lists this transfer RNA (73 nucleotides) under Holzapfeliella floricola DSM 23037 = JCM 16512. RNAcentral's name for it is "Lactobacillus floricola DSM 23037 = JCM 16512 tRNA". It matches the Rfam family "tRNA". Rfam says of the family: Transfer RNA (tRNA) molecules are approximately 80 nucleotides in length. Their secondary structure includes four short double-helical elements and three loops (D, anti-codon, and T loops). Further hydrogen bonds mediate the characteristic L-shaped molecular structure. tRNAs have two regions of fundamental functional importance: the anti-codon, which is responsible for specific mRNA codon recognition, and the 3' end, to which the tRNAs corresponding amino acid is attached (by aminoacyl-tRNA synthetases). tRNAs cope with the degeneracy of the genetic code in two manners: having more than one tRNA (with a specific anti-codon) for a particular amino acid; and 'wobble' base-pairing, i.e. permitting non-standard base-pairing at the 3rd anti-codon position. Lineage: Bacteria; Bacillati; Bacillota; Bacilli; Lactobacillales; Lactobacillaceae. RNAcentral also lists the same sequence under 3 other names. The record is from Rfam by way of RNAcentral.